CAAAAGCAUUAUUUUUUAUAUUUUAUUUUUAACAACUUUUUUGAAUGAUGAAAUUAUAAAAAUAAGAAAAUGAUGUGGGUAUAGAUAAAACAAAGGUUUAGUUGCUGAAAAAUUCAGGUUUGGUUACUCAUUCUUACAUGUUUUUAUGGAACUUCGACAUUUUAAAGUUGACACUAUCAACUGAAGUUUUUUGAGUUGCAAGGCUGUCCAGCAAUCUCUGACAAAAAAUAAGGGCUAAUUUUAGGGCUAAAAUUACGAAAAUUUAGGGUUAAAAUUAGGUAUUUCAAAACUAGAUUAGGACAGUUUUAGACAUUUUUAAAAUGGUCUUACUUGCGCAAUUUUGACAAUAAAGAAACUUUUUAAAAAAUACUCUCUGUUCACAAAGUUACAAGCAAUAAACAGCUUGACAUAUUGGUCAAAUUUAGUUUUCAAAAUUGUUAGAAUAGAAAUAUAUUUUUUUUAAAAUAGAAAUUGACAGGGAAAAUUUGGGCUUUUUUAGGAUUUUCCCUUGAAUUUAACAUUUUUAAGGAAUUUUAGCAAAACUGGGGGGAAAAUUGGAAUUUUUUUUAGAAAUUUUAGGUCCGCUGGACAGCCUGGAAUUAGAAACUUAAAACAGGUAUGAACUUUCGCAGAGUUUUCAUGUAGUUACACAUAAAAUCAUCUGAAAUAUUUUUGUUUUUGUUUCUCCUUUCUCCAAACUGGGUGGAAUAAAAAGCGUGUGAUUAUGCACACAAGCUAGUUAAUGGAAGAUACUUCUGUGUCACUAAAAACAUAUAAAAUUCAGUUUGUUGCUUCAUCACAGUACAAAAAUGAUUUCAUCUAAGAAGUUAAACUAUUGAAUGUUAAUUAUUGUUAAGCUACAUUUUCUAAUCCAUUUGAUGGUAGUAUGGUGUAUAAAUGGAGGAAUGUUGGGAAAUUGCAUCAUUCUUUAGGUCUUUGAUUUGAUCUAUUUGGAAAAUGGCCGCAAGGAAAUGCAAAAUUGUAGGUUCUUCUGAGAUUGCUAUGCUGUCAUCUUUUGUCUUCACAUCAUCUUAAGCCAUUUAAAACUUUUUUCAGAUUUCCUGACUUCCCUUCUCCAGUACAUGAUGAUAUUCACUAAAGGACCACCUUGUCAUUCUGGAUUUCAAGAUGAAAACAGAAUUCUUCAGUGAAUUCUUUGAAAAAUGUGAUGUUGUGAAACUAUGAUGUGUUAUGUAUUACAGUAAUUAAUCUUCAGUAACUUUGUCAUCUGACAGUGACUUUUUAUAGAGUGCAAAUUUAAUGUUAAUGAUGAGUAUUAUAUGUCAUUUACACUACUAACAUGAUUAAUAAACAUAUAGAAACUCAUUUCUUGUCUUUAUUCAAUGUCGCCCAUUAUAGGCUAUGAAAUACUCCUAAAUUUUUUUCUGGUAUGAAAUAGAAUUGAGUCAACUUCACCAAAAACAAUAUUUAAAGACAAAACAAUGAUUGUGCUGCAAUGUCAUCUAGACUGACUGAAAAGCAAUCUGCUGAAAUACAAUUUUCACAAUAUCAUAAUAGCUGAACAAAGCUAUGUUGUAAGCCUAUACAUCAUGCAAGAAAAAUCAGAGACAUGAUAUGUUGUAUAUGCCUCUUGAAUAAUAUACAUGGAAUAUAGAUCUACAGUAAACGUGUAUCAGUCGAUGCACGCGCACCAGGUUCCGACACAAAAUUUUGGUCCAGUAUGAGCCCUGGCCUGGGUUUGUGAAUUAAAUAUCCAAAUUGUAAACAAAGCUGGGAACUAAAUCGCCAAAAGAACGAGGUUAAAGAUAACGGCUAUUUUAAACACGAGAUACUAUUGAAAUACUUGAGGAUUUCAAUUAUCUGACCAAAUAUGCACGUUUUUAAUAGGAUGGACAAAGGCAAUCGGUGUUAGAGGCCCAGCGGCCGCGUUAUCAAACUUCCGUUAUAUAAGCCGUCUCCUGCAAAGAACGAUAACUCGUGCGUAGGGGCAAUAACCUUUACCGUAUUUCCGGUUGCAAGAACGUCGAGCCCUACUUUCGCUAUAGCCGCGCGCUAUUCUCUCGAGCCCUCUACAGACAAGAAAAUGUCGUGUGAGUCGUAGUCUACAUGCUGUACAAAUUUCAGGAGGAUGAAUGUUCACAGAGUCACUGUCAAUGUCAAUAUAAUAAAGGGAGGUGAUUGCAGCUUUGAAGUUUUCUUUGGGAUGAGACUUGGAAUUAAUGGGAAUUUUCACUCCACAGAGCCUACACAUACACUUUAACUUUAAUUCAUGCUCCAUUUCUGUAGAAAAAAUAAAGUUUUGAAUAGAU
Ostrea edulis (European flat oyster) is the source of this 2270-nucleotide long non-coding RNA. RefSeq lists it as uncharacterized. NCBI's taxonomy places the organism in Eukaryota, Metazoa, Mollusca, Bivalvia, Ostreida, Ostreidae. The transcript is spliced from 2 exons. The record is from RefSeq and is a predicted model, not a curated record.